AAUAUGAAAAUAUGUGCAUAGCAAAAAGUAGAAAAAGGCUAUCAUUUCCCCAAAUCACGCCGACAACAAAAUCCCCUUCUCUACUGUACUGUUCUCUCUACACGGCUGUGAUUUGGGUACGGUGGGCAAGGGAGAUCAUGGGAGGACGCAGCGGGCUGCUCGACCUCGUCAUGGCCGGCGCUGCCGUGGCGACGGUGCUGGAGGUUGGAGGCGUGGAGGCGGAGGAGGCAGUGACUGAGCUGACGAAGGGUACGCUGGUUCACGUAUUUCCCGGCGAAUUGGUGUGUGCUGCAGCGUCUUCCAAGCCAUUUCUGAUCGAGGAGGGGACCACUCUUUCGAGCAGCUGUUCUUGCGCUGUCCACCAACGAGAUCGCAUCUCACUGUCGCUGAUCUGGAAAGGCAGAUGUCGGUCGCCGGGGAGAUCAUGGGUGCAGGCAGUGAACUUUGGCGUUGAGUAGAACGGCCUGUCGUUCCUUGUCGCUUAUAGGAAGAGGAAGAGCAACAGCAUUUCCUUGGAUUUCUGCUGGAUCCACUGGAGAUUUGGAGCCAAGAAGGAUAUGUGGUGGCUAUAAUAAGCGCUGGCGCGACUACACGGAGAAGCUGGCACUCGCGACCUGCGAAGCAGUACGCGAGGUGAACCGAGUAUCCUAGAGCCAGCAACCUGUGUGGAGCAGCGCAGCACACCAGGCAAAGCUGGAUGCCGCAAGUAGCAGUGCGGGUUUGCCCUUCUACUCUGUUGCCUUAGUCUAGGACCUCUGCUUUUUAUUGAUGAUUUCCCUAAUCGGUUUGCUAAAGUUCCAUUACGUUUGUUUUCCAUGUCUAGAUUCUUCUAGAAUUAUACGUGAUAAAAAUUGAAAUAGAAAAUAGCUGUAGAAAUUUGACCGAUAAAGUUGAUUAAUGUUGUGCACCCAGAGAAAACAUUAAUUUUGGUCGAGGGUUAGUAACAAAAAAAUAGUUAAGUUUUUCAUCGGUGAGCUACCAUGCUACGCAUGUUCGUGAUAUAAAUUUUCUUCGUGGCUUCAUACGGAUCAAUUCUCAGUCCAUCUAUGUUCACCCUUUAAUUUAUUCAUAGUAUUCCAGAUUGAUUUCGAACUAAAUCUUUUGAAAUGGUGUUGUACAUUUGUUCUCGUAUGUUUUAAGCGAUGCUACAUGGUAAAAAGGCAGCCCGGUGCAUGUAGCUCCCGCUUGCGCUGGGUCCGGGGAAGGGUCCGACCACUUUGGGUCUAUUGUACGCAGCCUUUCCCUACAUUUCUGUAAGAGGCUGUUUCCAGGACUUGAACCCCUGACCUCAUGGUCACAAGGCAACAGCUUUAAGUGAUGCUAGAUGGGAGGAAAUUUUUAUAUCAAUACCUUUGGUCUCAAUUUCCCAGGGAGCAACUCACAUAAGUUGUACGGGUCCUGGAGGCUUGUACGUUAUCAUAUCUUAGAAGAGUUCUGAUGCAUUACCUGAUCUGGUGGGUUGUCAUUCCUAAUUCCAGGUGUUCGCAAGGAAGUUCCGAAGACAGCAUGGGAUGUGAAGAUUUGAGCAGACAUUAAGCAGUUAUAUUACCCAAAGUUGAUGGUGUUUCUGUCGUUCCUUCUUCGGGGCCUUCGAUGUGCUGGGCGUUCUGCCGUCCCCUUCGGUACGCAAGGCAUCCUACCCACCUUACUGGUCCAACUGAUCGUCCUCGGCGCGUGUGGAUGUUGUUGUGUCGAUCUGCCUUCAAUCUGCUGUACUCGUGUUGUGAUGUGUGACGGCGUGUGUUGAUUCCCUAGGUGUACCAUCUUGUAUGAUUCUCUCUUGUGGGUGUGGCUUAUGUUAGUCCAAAGAUUACCGAGUUUGCAUUAACUACGGAUGAGUGUAUUGCGUUAGGAAACCAAUUCAUGUUCUUCUCAGUUUGUACGUGCAAUCAUCUAAUUUCCUUUUUUCUUCAUGCAAUGGUAUAUGCCAGUGUCCUUGCCUAA
Long non-coding RNA from Aegilops tauschii subsp. strangulata, 1944 nucleotides. RefSeq lists it as uncharacterized. NCBI's taxonomy places the organism in Eukaryota, Viridiplantae, Streptophyta, Magnoliopsida, Poales, Poaceae. The record is from RefSeq and is a predicted model, not a curated record.